This 24-nucleotide non-coding RNA is filed under the name Cricetulus griseus (Chinese hamster). The record is from RNAcentral. Lineage: Eukaryota; Metazoa; Chordata; Mammalia; Rodentia; Cricetidae.
UGGGGCUAGAUUAUGUAGGUGGAG